UGGGGUAGCUCAGUUGGCCAGAGCCUCUGGCUUCCCAGUGAGAGGUCAGGGGUUCGAAGUCCCCUCGGCACAA
Molecule: non-coding RNA, 73 nt
Organism: Ilex paraguariensis (yerba mate)
Lineage: Eukaryota; Viridiplantae; Streptophyta; Magnoliopsida; Aquifoliales; Aquifoliaceae
Source: the annotation of a GenBank genome assembly